This 66-nucleotide transfer RNA is filed under the name Ophionotus victoriae. RNAcentral's name for it is "tRNA-Tyr". Lineage: Eukaryota; Metazoa; Echinodermata; Ophiuroidea; Amphilepidida; Ophiuridae. The record is from RNAcentral.
CAUAAGAUGUCCGAGAUUAGGUGUUAGUUUGUAAAACUAAUUACGAGGGGCUUUCCUCUCUUAUGA